Molecule: ribosomal RNA, 465 nt
Filed under: Vreelandella stevensii
Lineage: Bacteria; Pseudomonadati; Pseudomonadota; Gammaproteobacteria; Oceanospirillales; Halomonadaceae
Description: partial 16S ribosomal RNA
Rfam family: Bacterial small subunit ribosomal RNA
Source: RNAcentral
CCUACGGGGGGCAGCAGUGGGGAAUAUUGGACAAUGGGGGGAACCCUGAUCCAGCCAUGCCGCGUGUGUGAAGAAGGCCCUCGGGUUGUAAAGCACUUUCAGUGAGGAAGAACGCCUGGUGGUUAAUACCCAUCAGGAAAGACAUCACUCACAGAGGAAGCACCGGCUAACUCCGUGCCAGCAGCCGCGGUAAUACGGAGGGUGCGAGCGUUAAUCGGAAUUACUGGGCGUAAAGCGCGCGUAGGUGGCUUGAUAAGCCGGUUGUGAAAGCCCCGGGCUCAACCUGGGAACGGCAUCCGGAACUGUCAAGCUAGAGUGCAGGAGAGGAAGGUAGAAUUCCCGGUGUAGCGGUGAAAUGCGUAGAGAUCGGGAGGAAUACCAGUGGCGAAGGCGGCCUUCUGGACUGACACUGACACUGAGGUGCGAAAGCGUGGGUAGCAAACAGGAUUAGAUACCCUGGUAGUC